RNAcentral lists this ribosomal RNA (527 nucleotides) under Kryptoperidinium foliaceum. Its description in RNAcentral is "partial Bacterial small subunit ribosomal RNA". It matches the Rfam family "Bacterial small subunit ribosomal RNA", at positions 1 to 529 of the family's 1533-position model. Lineage: Eukaryota; Dinophyceae; Peridiniales; Kryptoperidiniaceae. The record is from RNAcentral.
AUGAAGAGUUUGAUCCUGGCUCAGGAUGAACGCUAGCGGCAGGCCUAACACAUGCAAGUCGAACGGUAACAUGUCCUUCGGGAUGAUGACGAGUGGCGCACGGGUGCGUAACGCGUAUGCAAUCUACCUUAUACUGGAGGAUAGCCCGAGGAAACUCGGAUUAAUACUCCAUAGUAUCACGAAAUGGCAUCGUUUUGUGAUUAAAGAUUUAUUGGUAUAAGAUGAGCAUGCGUCUGAUUAGUUAGUUGGUAAGGUAACGGCUUACCAAGACGAUGAUCAGUAGGGGGUCUGAGAGGAUGAUCCCCCACACUGGCACUGAGAUACGGACCAGACUCCUACGGGAGGCAGCAGUAGGGAAUAUUGGUCAAUGGGCGAGAGCCUGAACCAGCCAUGCCGCGUGCAGGAUGACGGCCUUCUGGGUUGUAAACUGCUUUUAUAUGGGAAGAAAAAGGUCUUGCGAGACAAAUUGCCGGUACCAUAUGAAUAAGCACCGGCUAACUCCGUGCCAGCAGCCGCGGUAAUGCGGA